GCGCCAUUAGCAUAAUAGGAGAAUGCACGCGCCUUCUAAGCGUGAGAUUGGAUUAGGGUUCGAGUCCCCCAUGGCGCA
Molecule: transfer RNA, 78 nt
Filed under: Caudoviricetes sp.
Lineage: Duplodnaviria; Heunggongvirae; Uroviricota; Caudoviricetes
Description: tRNA-Arg
Rfam family: tRNA
About the family: Transfer RNA (tRNA) molecules are approximately 80 nucleotides in length. Their secondary structure includes four short double-helical elements and three loops (D, anti-codon, and T loops).
Source: RNAcentral